Non-coding RNA from Gossypium hirsutum (cotton), 152 nucleotides. The record is from Rfam. Lineage: Eukaryota; Viridiplantae; Streptophyta; Magnoliopsida; Malvales; Malvaceae.
UGUUAAAAAUUUUAUCAAUUUAUACUACUAAAAAUUGGUAUGGCUAAUGGAAUAACCAAAUAGUGACAUGUGACGUGUGACGUGCAACGUGUACCUUAUGCUAAUGUACAGGGACGAGUUUUUAACAAUAGAAAUGAAUGAAAUUUUUAACA